ACUUUACAAUGCGGGAAAUCGUGAUAGGGGAACUCCGAGUGCCCGUAAAAUCGGGCUGUCCACCAGUUUAAAUAACUGGUGAAGAAAGGGCCGGGCAAGACCGGUGCCAGCCGCCGCGGUAAUACCGGCGGCUCGAGUGGUGGCCACUAUUACUGGGCUUAAAGCGUUCGUAGCUGGUUUGUUAAGUCUCUGGGGAAAUCUUCCGGCUUAACCGGAAGGCGUCUCAGGGAUACUGGCAGACUAGGGACCGGGAGAGGUGAGGGGUACUCCAGGGGUAGGAGUGAAAUCCUGUAAUCCUUGGGGGACCACCUGUGGCGAAGGCGCCCCACCAGAACGGCUCCGACAGUGAGGGACGAAAGCUGGGGGAGCAAACCGGAUUAGAUACCCGGGUAGUCCCAGCUGUAAACGAUGCGCGUUAGGUGUAUCAGUGACCACGAGUCACUGAGGUGCCGAAGAGAAAUCGUGAAACGUGCCGCCUGGGAAGUACGGUCGCAAGGCUGAAACUUAA
Molecule: ribosomal RNA, 508 nt
Filed under: uncultured Methanoregula sp.
Lineage: Archaea; Methanobacteriati; Methanobacteriota; Methanomicrobia; Methanomicrobiales; Methanoregulaceae
Description: bacterial SSU rRNA
Rfam family: Archaeal small subunit ribosomal RNA
Source: RNAcentral